GACGAACGCUGGCGGCGCGCCUAACACAUGCAAGUCGAACGAGCGAGAGAGAGCUUGCUUUCUUGAGCGAGUGGCGAACGGGUGAGUAACGCGUGAGGAACCUGCCUCAAAGAGGGGGACAACAGUUGGAAACGACUGCUAAUACCGCAUAAGCCCACGACCCGGCAUCGGGUUGAGGGAAAAGGAGCAAUCCGCUUUGAGAUGGCCUCGCGUCCGAUUAGCUAGUUGGUGAGGUAACGGCCCACCAAGGCGACGAUCGGUAGCCGGACUGAGAGGUUGAACGGCCACAUUGGGACUGGGACACGGCCCAGACUCCUACGGGAGGCAGCAGUGGGGAAUAUUGCACAAUGGGGGAAACCCUGAUGCAGCGACGCCGCGUGGAGGAAGAAGGUCUUCGGAUUGUAAACUCCUGUUGUUGAGGAAGAUAAUGACGGUACUCAACAAGGAAGUGACGGCUAACUACGUG
Molecule: ribosomal RNA, 466 nt
Filed under: uncultured bacterium
Lineage: Bacteria
Description: partial 16S ribosomal RNA
Rfam family: Bacterial small subunit ribosomal RNA
Source: RNAcentral